Molecule: ribosomal RNA, 253 nt
Filed under: uncultured bacterium
Lineage: Bacteria
Description: partial 16S ribosomal RNA
Rfam family: Bacterial small subunit ribosomal RNA
Source: RNAcentral
UACGGAGGGAGCUAGCGUUGUUCGGAAUUACUGGGCGUAAAGCGCACGUAGGCGGCUUUGUAAGUUAGAGGUGAAAGCCCGGAGCUCAACUCCGGAAUUGCCUUUAAGACUGCAUCGCUUGAAUCCAGGAGAGGUGAGUGGAAUUCCGAGUGUAGAGGUGAAAUUCGUAGAUAUUCGGAAGAACACCAGUGGCGAAGGCGGCUCACUGGACUGGUAUUGACGCUGAGGCGCGAAAGCGUGGGGAGCAAACAGG